CCCAGCCAUGCCGCGUGCAGGAUGCUGCCCUAUGGGUUGUAAACUGCUUUUAUACGGGAAGAACCCCUCCGACGUGUCGGGGGCUGACGGUACCGUAUGAAUAAGCAUCGGCUAACUCCGUGCCAGCAGCCGCGGUAAUACGGAGGAUGCAGGCGUUAUCCGGAUUUAUUGGGUUUAAAGGGUGCGUAGGCGGAUUAAUAAGUCAGUGGUGAAAUCCCUCAGCUUAACUGAGGAACUGCCAUUGAUACUGUUAGUCUUGAGUAUAGUUGAGGUGGGCGGAAUGUGUCAUGUAGCGGUGAAAUGCAUAGAUAUGACACAGAACACCGAUUGCGUAGGCAGCUCACUAAACUAUCACUGACGCUGAGGCACGAAAGCGUGGGGAGCGAACAGGAUUAGAUACCUGGUAGUCCACGCUGUAAACGAUGAUUACUCGUUGUGUGCGAUAUAC
This 448-nucleotide ribosomal RNA is filed under the name uncultured bacterium. RNAcentral's name for it is "bacterial SSU rRNA". It matches the Rfam family "Bacterial small subunit ribosomal RNA", at positions 387 to 834 of the family's 1533-position model. The record is from RNAcentral.